Molecule: ribosomal RNA, 207 nt
Filed under: Triticum aestivum (bread wheat)
Lineage: Eukaryota; Viridiplantae; Streptophyta; Magnoliopsida; Poales; Poaceae
Description: partial small subunit ribosomal RNA
Source: RNAcentral
AUGAAAGCACAAUGGGAUAAUGUGGAAGAAGUGAAUGCCAAUAACCGUGGCAAAGAAGGAACAUUGUCACCACUUGGAUAUGAAAAUGUGGUCAGAAAGUUUUUUGAGCGCACGAGGAGAGAAUAUACCAAAACGCAAUUCAAGAAUAAGUGGGAUGUGCUGAAAAAAGAGUAUGCUGUUUGGAAGACAUUAACCCAAAAGGCAUGA